Molecule: ribosomal RNA, 254 nt
Filed under: uncultured bacterium
Lineage: Bacteria
Description: partial 16S ribosomal RNA
Rfam family: Bacterial small subunit ribosomal RNA
Source: RNAcentral
UACAGAGGGGGCAAGCGUUGUUCGGAAUUACUGGGCGUAAAGGGCGCGUAGGCGGCCUGUUAAGUCGAACGUGAAAUCCCCGGGCUCAACCCGGGAACUGCGUCCGAUACUGGCAGGCUUGAAUCCGGGAGAGGGAUGCGGAAUUCCAGGUGUAGCGGUGAAAUGCGUAGAUAUCUGGAGGAACACCGGUGGCGAAGGCGGCAUCCUGGACCGGUAUUGACGCUGAGGCGCGAAAGCCAGGGGAGCAAACGGGG